Molecule: transfer RNA, 90 nt
Filed under: Scleroderma citrinum Foug A
Lineage: Eukaryota; Fungi; Basidiomycota; Agaricomycetes; Boletales; Sclerodermataceae
Rfam family: tRNA
About the family: Transfer RNA (tRNA) molecules are approximately 80 nucleotides in length. Their secondary structure includes four short double-helical elements and three loops (D, anti-codon, and T loops). Further hydrogen bonds mediate the characteristic L-shaped molecular structure. tRNAs have two regions of fundamental functional importance: the anti-codon, which is responsible for specific mRNA codon recognition, and the 3' end, to which the tRNAs corresponding amino acid is attached (by aminoacyl-tRNA synthetases). tRNAs cope with the degeneracy of the genetic code in two manners: having more than one tRNA (with a specific anti-codon) for a particular amino acid; and 'wobble' base-pairing, i.e. permitting non-standard base-pairing at the 3rd anti-codon position.
Source: Rfam by way of RNAcentral
GCCCGCUUAGCUCAGUGGUAGAGCGCAUCACUUGUAGAUCGGAAUGUCUCCGCGAUGAUGAGGUCGGUUGUUCAAUCCAGCCAGUGGGCA